Molecule: small nuclear RNA, 189 nt
Filed under: Opisthocomus hoazin
Lineage: Eukaryota; Metazoa; Chordata; Aves; Opisthocomiformes; Opisthocomidae
Description: U2 spliceosomal RNA
Rfam family: U2 spliceosomal RNA
About the family: U2 is a small nuclear RNA (snRNA) component of the spliceosome (involved in pre-mRNA splicing). Complementary binding between U2 snRNA (in an area lying towards the 5' end but 3' to hairpin I) and the branchpoint sequence (BPS) of the intron results the bulging out of an unpaired adenosine, on the BPS, which initiates a nucleophilic attack at the intronic 5' splice site, thus starting the first of two transesterification reactions that mediate splicing.
Source: Rfam by way of RNAcentral
CUCUAAUCUCUGAUCUUUGUCUAAGGUCAUGUUUAACAUCUGUUCUUAUCAGUUAAAUAUCUGUCACAUCCUUGACUUGAAGGUGUCAUAUUAAACAAAUUUUUUGGGACCAAAAGAUGGAUUAGAACUUUUUCUGUCUAUCCUGUGCAUCUGCCUGUUAUUGCAGUGUCUCCAGAAGCCGCACACUAA